CCCUUAGAUGUUCUGGGCCGCACGCGCGCUACACUGAUGCAUUCAACGAGUUUCUUCCUGGUCCGAGAGGAAUGGGUAACCUUUUGAAAGUGCAUCGUGAUGGGGAUAGACUAUUGCAAUUAUUGGUCUUCAACGAGGAAUUCCUAGUAGACGUAGUUCAUCAGACUGCAUCGAUUACGUCCCUGCCCUUUGUACACACCGCCCGUCGCUCCUACCGAUUGAAUGCUCAGGUGAGCCAUUCGGACUUUCAUCAUGCUGGUUUCCAGUUUUGAUGAAGGAAAGUCUUGCGAACCUUAUCAUUUAGAGGAAGGAGAAGUCGUAACA
Molecule: ribosomal RNA, 324 nt
Filed under: uncultured eukaryote
Lineage: Eukaryota
Description: partial 18S ribosomal RNA
Rfam family: Eukaryotic small subunit ribosomal RNA
Source: RNAcentral